AACCAUUCAAAAGUUUAGAGACGAGUGACUAUUCCGAUUAAUGACACAAACUUUGAAGUGACGUCACUCACCAAUUGUAAGAAGAGCACAAAUACUUGAAUACUAUAUUGCAAUAAAUGAAAAAAAGUAGAGAUAAAAAGUGUCACCAAAAUUACUGAAGAACUAUCCAUGUAAAUUGUAGUAUACAUGCAUGAACUGCUGAAGAACCACUAACGCACUCAUUUGUAUCACGAUGUGACUACUUUCAACGAAAAUUGGGGACAUUAUCACCGGGACGGAAUUCAGACAUUUUCAGCAUUUGGGGACGAAAUUCAGUAGCUGUGAUUUAUAUAUAUAAGGGUGGUGAAGUGCCGGUAAAGUACGUUCUCACUAUAGCAAGUAUCUGCACACCACCGAACGUCCGGGAAGAAAGGUUUUCA
This is a long non-coding RNA of Sipha flava (yellow sugarcane aphid), 419 nucleotides long. RefSeq lists it as uncharacterized. Lineage: Eukaryota; Metazoa; Arthropoda; Insecta; Hemiptera; Aphididae. The record is from RefSeq and is a predicted model, not a curated record. The transcript is spliced from 3 exons.